Molecule: ribosomal RNA, 196 nt
Filed under: uncultured bacterium
Lineage: Bacteria
Description: partial 16S ribosomal RNA
Rfam family: Bacterial small subunit ribosomal RNA
Source: RNAcentral
UGCAACUCGCCUACACGAAGUCGGAAUCGCUAGUAAUCNCGGAUCAGCAUGCCGCGGUGAAUACGUUCCCGGGCCUUGUACACACCGCCCGUCACACCAUGGGAGUUUGUAACGCCCAAAGUCGGUGGCCUAACCUUUAUGGAGGGAGCCGCCUAAGGCGGGACAGAUGACUGGGGUGAAGUCGUAACAAGGUAGC